GUCGUAAACUUUAACUUACAUUUUUCUCCUCGCCAGGGAACUACGAGCUAAGCUUAAAACCCAAAGGACUUGACGGUACCCCAUAUCCCCCUAGAGGAGCCUGUCCUAUAAUCGAUAACCCCCGUUUUACCUCACCAUUUUUUGUUAAUCAGCCUGUAUACCUCCGUCGUCAGCUUACCACGUGAGCGUGUGAGCUAAAUGUUUUUUCAACCACACGUCAGGUCAAGGUGCAGCAAAUAAAAUGGAAAGAGAUGGGCUACACUCUCUAUUCUAGAAUAAACAAAAGACUAAAUGAAACCCGGUCAGAAGGCGGAUUUAGCAGUAAAAUGAAACUAGAGCGUUCAUUUAAACAUGGCACUGGGGUGUGUACACACCGCCCGUCACCCUCCUCAAUGCUUCAAAACAGUAUUUUACACUUUUUAGCUACACAGAAGAGGCAAGUCGUAACAUGGUAAGUAUACCGGAAGGUAUGCUUGGAAU
RNAcentral lists this ribosomal RNA (480 nucleotides) under Epipedobates boulengeri. Its description in RNAcentral is "partial 12S ribosomal RNA". It matches the Rfam family "Bacterial small subunit ribosomal RNA", at positions 799 to 1522 of the family's 1533-position model. Lineage: Eukaryota; Metazoa; Chordata; Amphibia; Anura; Dendrobatidae. The record is from RNAcentral.